UAAGUGUUCAAAAUCCCCUUUUAUUGGUUGUUGGCAUCCAGGUGAACCAAUGGCACAAGAGUAAGAUUUAAUCACCAAAAAAAUAAAACAGAGAGUUCCAGUUUCACAAAGUAAAAAAAAAUAAAAAAAAGUGGAUUUUUUAUUUUAUUUAUAUAGUUACAUUUAGUAAAUUACCCAGAAACACUUGAGUCAUACACAGGCAUUACCAAGAACUACAGUGAGGUACUCUAACCUCUCACCUGUGUGAACCAACAGUCAACACACACAUAUCCAUCCACUAACACCACAUCAUUGACCUCUUGGACUAGAUCACAGUGGAUCACAUUUACAUGAUAAUGGAGGAGAUGAAGCACCAGAUUCCAGUUGUGGAGGAGGAGUGAAACCAGGAAGUGAGAUGGUUUUUAUAUCAAUGACCAACAGAUCGUUCUCCAUGAUAAUGGCUGUGCCUUUAGAGAGGGAAAUUAAAAGAAAUUCUUCCAGUCAGAGAGGUUUUAACGUCCGAACGGGAUCGGCGAUCCCGUCAGAGAGGUUAACGUCCGACCGGGAUCGGGGAUCCCGUCAGAGAGGUUAACGUCCGACCGGGAUCGGGGAUCCAGUCAGAGAGGUUAACGUCCCACCAGAUCAGAGCUCUGGACAGCUGUAAGGACACACACUUCCUUCAUGAAAACAACAUUUAACAGGUUAUUUCCUGUCUGGGAGAUCAAAAUCUCCACCAAUGAGCUCACAGCUAGAGGAAGACAUAAUUUCCUCUAGGUUAACAUUGUAAAUUUCCUGUGAUUCAAUAUUAUGAGAUGAGGGAGUAAAACCCCAUUCCAGAAUCCACUUCCAGUUUUUCCACGGCGCUCAGAGUCCAGCGGGUCUCUACUUCCAGACAGAACCGAUUCUGUAUCAUCACUGCUUUUAUUUCUUCUUCUAAAAGGGUCAUUUCAAAAUAAGCCGACAUAUGCAGCGUUUACCGUAAACAUUGCAUUGUGGGAUUGAAUCCUGGCCAACAAAAUCAGGUCAUGGAUGAUAAAUCAGUGGUUUAAUACAGAGACAGACAGGUGGAGGGAGACACCUGGAUACAAAGACCAAAAUAAACACACAGAGACGGAUAGAGAGAGAGAGAGAGAGAGACGGAUAGAGAGAGAGAGACGGAUAGAGACAGAUAGAGAGAGAGAGAGACAGAGAGACAGAUAGAGAGAGAGAGAGAGAGACGAUAGAGAGAGAGACGGAUAGAGAGACGAUAGAGAGAGAGACGGAUAGAGAGACGAUAGAGAGAGAGACGGAUAGAGAGACGAUGAGAGAGAGAGACGGAUAGAGAGACGAUAGAGAGAGAGACGGAUAGAGAGACGAUAGAGAGAGAGACGGAUAGAGAGACGAUAGAGAGAGAGACGGAUAGAG
This 1383-nucleotide long non-coding RNA is filed under the name Salmo salar (Atlantic salmon). Its description in RNAcentral is "lncRNA (ENSSSAG00000121514.1)". The record is from RNAcentral. Lineage: Eukaryota; Metazoa; Chordata; Actinopteri; Salmoniformes; Salmonidae.